GCUAACUAUAUGUCAGAAAGCAUCAGCUUUUCUCGAUGGACCCAUUCAUCUAAUGAAAUAUGCCUGUACUAUUUUAAAAAGCUUUGUAUUUCGUCAUAGAAAAGUUCAUCCCCCCAGAAUGAAAAUGAGGACAUUUGAGAAGGUGAUUUAAGGUGUGGACAUUUGAGAAGGUGUCCUAUCAAAUUAGUAAACCAAAGGAAAAGUACUGAAUAGAUUAAUCCAAAACACUUACUGUUUUUUAAACGAAGAGGAUUUCACCUUGACAGAAAAACAACUUUUAUUCAAUAUGUAUUUCCUGAAAUUAAAGAGACAAGUACAGACUGAAAGGAAAAUAGAUUCGUAAAUAAGCUACGUCAACUCUAUCCUGCUGAGGAUAGCUCAGUGAUGUUAAAUCCUUUACAAAUCCCUGGUUGUCUUCCUACAGACAAGACUGCUUUUUGAUGGGACUGAUAUUAAGAGAAAUAGGACCUUUGGGGCAUUCAACUCCUUGAUAAAACUUAAAAGUAUCGGCAUGAGUGGCUUAACAGAGGAAAUAAAGAAGUUUUCAACUAAAUCCAAAAGUGCGGUCAUUUUCUUUACUGCUGUUAUUUUAAAAACCUCUUCAUAACCAUUGAAAAAGAAUCGACAACUAUUUUAAAAGAUUAAAGAAAGGCAGAUGUCUGCAAAUAAUUCCCCUCCAUCAGCCCAGAAGUCUGUAUUACCCACAGCUAUUCCUGCUGUGCUUCCAGCUGCUUCUCCGUGUUCAAGUCCUAAGACGGGACUCUCUGCCCGACUCUCUAAUGGAAGCUUCAGUGCACCAUCACUCACCAACUCCAGAGGCUCAGUGCAUACAGUUUCAUUUCUACUGCAAAUUGGCCUCACACGGGAGAGUGUUACCAUUGAAGCCCAGGAACUGUCUUUAUCUGCUGUCAAGGAUCUUGUGUGCUCCAUAGUUUAUCAAAAG
This 943-nucleotide non-coding RNA is filed under the name Homo sapiens (human). Lineage: Eukaryota; Metazoa; Chordata; Mammalia; Primates; Hominidae. The record is from RNAcentral.